Molecule: ribosomal RNA, 500 nt
Filed under: uncultured bacterium
Lineage: Bacteria
Description: partial 16S ribosomal RNA
Rfam family: Bacterial small subunit ribosomal RNA
Source: RNAcentral
AUUGAACGCUGGCGGCAUGCCUUACACAUGCAAGUCGAACGGCAGCACGGGAGCAAUCCUGGUGGCGAGUGGCGAACGGGUGAGUAAAGUAUCGGAACGUGCCCAGUCGUGGGGGAUAACGUAGCGAAAGUUACGCUAAUACCGCAUACGAUCUAUGGAUGAAAGCGGGGGAUCGCAAGACCUCGCGCGAUUGGUGCGGCCGAUAUCAGAUUAGGUAGUUGGUGGGGUAAAGGCUCACCAAGCCGACGAUCUGUAGCUGGUCUGAGAGGACGACCAGCCACACUGGGACUGAGACACGGCCCAGACUCCUACGGGAGGCAGCAGUGGGGAAUUUUGGACAAUGGGCGAAAGCCUGAUCCAGCCAUGCCGCGCGCAGGAUGAAGGCCUUCGGGUUGUAAACUGCUUUUGUACGGAACGAAAAGGUUUGGCCUAAUAAGCUGAGCUCAUGACGGUACCGUAAGAAUAAGCACCGGCUAACUACGUGCCAGCCGCCGCGGUAA